GAUAAACGCUGGCGGCGUGCUUUAUGCAUGCAAGUCGAACGGUCCCGAUUUAUCGGGAUAGUGGCGGAUGGGUGAGUAACGCGUAAGUAACCUGUCCCUAAAAGGAGGAUAACUCUGAGAAAUCGGAGCUAAUACUGCAUGUGGUGAUGGGGGUAAGGCUUCAUCACUAAAGCCUUCGGGUGUUUGGGGAGGGGCUUGCGUCCGAUUAGCUAGUUGGUAAGGUAAUGGCCUACCAAGGCAACGAUCGGUAGCUGAUUUGAGAGGAUGGUCAGCCACACUGGGACUGAGACACGGCCCAGACUCCUACGGGAGGCAGCAGCAAGGAAUAUUGUGCAAUGGGCGAAAGCCUGACACAGCGACGCCGCGUGGGGGAAGAAGGCCUUCGGGUCGUAAACCUCUUUUCUCAGGGAAGAAAAAUGACGGUACCUGAGGAAUAAGUCUCGGCUAACUACGUGCCAGCAGCCGCGGUAAUACGUAGGAGGCGAGCGUUAUCCGGAUUUAUUGGGCGUAAAGAGGGCGUAGGUGGCUCUUCAAGUCGGAUGUAAAAUCUCCCGGCUCAACCGGGAGGGACCAUUCGAUACUGCUGGGCUAGAGUGCAGCAGGGGGAGGUGGAAUUCCCGGUGUAGUGGUGAAAUGCGUAGAUAUCGGGGGGAACACCAGUGGCGAAGGCGGCCUCCUGGGCUGCUACUGACGCUGAGGCCCGAAAGCGUGGGGAGCGAACAGGAUUAGAUACCCUGGUAGUCCACGCUGUAAACGAUGGACACUAGGUAUGGGGAGUAUCGACCCUUUCCGUGCCGAAGCUAACGCAUUAAGUGUCCCGCCUGGGGAGUACGGUCGCAAGACUAAAACUCAAAGGAAUUGACGGGGGCCC
This 871-nucleotide ribosomal RNA is filed under the name uncultured bacterium. RNAcentral describes it as "bacterial SSU rRNA". It matches the Rfam family "Bacterial small subunit ribosomal RNA", at positions 28 to 922 of the family's 1533-position model. The record is from RNAcentral.